AACGAACGCUGGCGGCGUGGCUAAGGCGUGCAAGUCGAACGGACAUAGUGCGUAGCAAUACAAGCUAUGUUAGUGGCGGACGGGUGAGUAAUGCAUGGGUAACGUACCAUGGACACGGGGAAUAGCGCCGGGUCCGUCGCAAGACGGAUCCUUUGCGAAAGUGGCGGUAAGACCCGAUGAACCCGGGAAACACAUGUUUUCCCGGGCAAACGCUCCGGUGGUCUAUGAUACGGCCCAUGCCUAUCAGCUUGUUGGUGAGGUAACGGCUCACCAAGGCAACGACGGGUAGCCGG
This 293-nucleotide ribosomal RNA is filed under the name uncultured bacterium. RNAcentral's name for it is "partial 16S ribosomal RNA". It matches the Rfam family "Bacterial small subunit ribosomal RNA", at positions 29 to 290 of the family's 1533-position model. The record is from RNAcentral.